AUACGGAGGGUGCAAGCGUUAAUCGGAAUUACUGGGCGUAAAGCGUACGUAGGCGGUUUAUUAAGUCAGAUGUGAAAGCCCCGGGCUUAACCUGGGAACUGCAUUUGAAACUAGUAGACUAGAGUAUGGUAGAGGGGGGUAGAAUUCCUAGUGUAGCGGUGAAAUGCGUAGAUAUUAGGAGGAAUACCAGUGGCGAAGGCGGCCCCCUGGACCAAUACUGACGCUGAGGUACGAAAGCGUGGGGAGCGAACAGGAUUAGAAACCCUGGUAGUCC
RNAcentral lists this ribosomal RNA (274 nucleotides) under uncultured bacterium. Its description in RNAcentral is "partial 16S ribosomal RNA". It matches the Rfam family "Bacterial small subunit ribosomal RNA", at positions 523 to 796 of the family's 1533-position model. The record is from RNAcentral.